RNAcentral lists this transfer RNA (107 nucleotides) under Rhodocollybia butyracea. RNAcentral describes it as "tRNA-OTHER". Lineage: Eukaryota; Fungi; Basidiomycota; Agaricomycetes; Agaricales; Omphalotaceae. The record is from RNAcentral.
GGGCAUAUGGUGUAGGGGUUAUCAUGUUCGCUAAGACUCGCUUCGCAUCCAUAGAAGGAUUCUACAGUCUUUGUGAAAGGUCUCCGGUUCAAAUCCGGAUUUGGCCA